Camelus dromedarius (Arabian camel) is the source of this 4325-nucleotide long non-coding RNA. RefSeq lists it as uncharacterized. NCBI's taxonomy places the organism in Eukaryota, Metazoa, Chordata, Mammalia, Artiodactyla, Camelidae. The transcript is spliced from 3 exons. The record is from RefSeq and is a predicted model, not a curated record.
GUGAUGCAGCGCUGCUUCCCGCUCCCCCAGUGGGCGCUGGGUGCUGAGAGCUGGACCUCACUGUCAGGCACGAGAAACAGACGGAGGAACAGAGGGGGAGAGAGAGAGAGUGCAGGAGAGAGGCAGGAGGUUGGGGCAGAGAGAGCUGGGAGUCUGCGGGCCCUUCCUCUCUGCCCGCCCGUGGCUUAGGACUCAACUUGAGGGGAAGCAUGCUGGUCCGGACAGCAGGGGUACCCUGGCCGCAGCCUGGACACCCACCAGCACCUGCCCUGUGCAGAUGCCCGCUGGCCCCCGCUCCAGCCCCAGCGAGAUCAUGGCCUCAGCUCUCGGGUGCCCUGAGCCCAGCCACACCUUCAUCACCCUCUUUCUCUGGGGCAGGCUGAGGAGCCCCAAGUGCAAGACAGAUGCCUGCCAUGGGGCCACUGAGGCCCCAGCGAGGGGCCUCGGAGCUGCAGGGAGACCAGAAACCUGGGGCAGCGAGCUCAUCGAGGUCUCCUGUGCGGGUCAUGGCAGGGCCCACUGCCCUACAUGAGAGAGGUGUGUUUCUAACUGAGCGGUCCAGGCUCCCUCCAGCUACUGCCUCUUCCACCUCCAACCUUUGGUCUGUGAUGGUUAGUUUUAUGUGUCAGUGUGGCCAGGCUAUACUGCCCAGGUCUUAGAUUAAACACUGAUUUGGGUGUUUCCAUGAAGAUGUUUUCUACCUGUGAUUAAUACCUACAGUGGCUUGAUUUUAAGUACCAGGGUUAUCCUUGAUAAGCUGGGUGGGCCUCGUCCAAUCAGUUGAAGGCCUGUAGGGCAAGAGUGUGCUGUCCCGAGGAAAAUGCAAUUCUGCCUCUCUCAGCAACUCUCUGAAUUUCCCACCUUCCCACCUGCUCUGCAGAUUUCAGACCUGCCAGUCCCCACAACUCCAUAAGCCAAUCUGGGGGAAUAACCCUCAGACACACACGUACACCUCCCUGUUCUGUGUCCCUGGAGAACUUUGUCUUCCGCAACAUCCAGAGUUGCCCAGCCCAGGUUCCUUGGGCCAGCACCUCGGCUCGGAGGCUCCUGAUGGGCCAGGCUUGGCUGUGGCCACACCACCUUCUUCCACAUUCCAAAGGUAAACUCAGUCCUGUGGCCACACCUGACUCCAGGAAGGCUGGAAAGAACACCCAGCCCCACUCCCUGGAAGAUGAGGGCGCUAGUUCGUUAUGCUGCAUCACAAAUUACCACAUGCCUUGAUGCUUAACACAGACACAUUUGUUCACUCACCAUUUCUGUGGGUCGGAACUCAGGGCACGGCUUCCCCAGGUCCCCUGCUCAGGGUCUCACCAGGUUGCACUCGUGGUGUCAGCUGUGUUAUGCCUCCUCUGGGGCUCAGGGUCCUCUCCAAGUUCCCAUGACUGUGGGAGAGUUCAUUUCCUGGAAAUUUGGGAUCCCGGGUGACUUGCUACUUCAUGGUUGGCAGGAGAGACAGUCUCUGUUGCUCGAGGCCUCUGAGCUUAGGGAAGGCGGGAGCCUUCUCCUCUGAUCAGGUCAGGCCCACCUGGGAUCAUCUCCCUUUGGCUCAACUUACAGUUGAACUGAUUAGGGGCUUUAAUCACACCUGCAAAGUCCUUUCACCUGGGCUGCAUCACAGGACCCAAUAAGGGCAUGACAUCUAUUUGUAGGCUGUGAAACAGAUGGGGAAAGGGGAAUAAAGGGUUUGCAUGCUGGGGCAGGAAUUCAGGAGACCCUGUCCAGUACUGGGAGCCACAGAGGAGAAUGGGUUAGGUGACCAGGCGGCCCAUUUCCUCCCCAGGCCCCCAGGAGAAGGGGCACUAGGGGCACGGGGGAGCUCUCUUCUCACCAGGUGUUUUCCUGCCUGGGAGAACACUGGAGGCAUUUAUUUAAGAUUUUAAAUAAGAGGGCACGCUCUCCCCACAGCACUUCAAGAAGGGCGCACCUCACAUGGAGAGAGGUGGUGGUUCGUCUCAGGAUGAUGGAGCAGCCGCCUUCCCCCACUGGCAGCAAAGUCACACGCUGUAAAACAGCAUAAUGACCCUGUCUUCCGCAGUACAAACCACACUUUCCUCAAGCGCAGCCCCUGGGCCGGCCCCGGAUUUAUGGCCCUCCGCCUUGUCGGGGGGCGAGGUGUCGGCUCAGGGAACGCUGGCUGCUCUGGAGCACCUGCUCCAUGGGCUUCCCCUCCCAGACCAGGUCACCCUCUUGCCGCCUCCUGGCUCUAGAAAGCCCACCUGAGUUACUGAGGGCGCUGGGAUGCAAGCACCAGCCCCAUCUGUCUCCUGACAGAGCCCUGAGCGGGGAGACAGUGACAGAUCUGCCUCUCCCAAAAUAAGAGGAUCCCGCUGCGCCUGCCUCUCCCCGACGUGCCGCCCAGCCCUCACGGGUGAUAUGAAUCUCCUGUGAGACUUGCCAUGAAUUCUCCCAGCCUUUCCGGGGGAACAGUAGGUAAUUCCCACCUGGGCUCUGCGGCACCUCAUCUUAAACCCCCUCUACCGCCGGCACUCCAGCUCCUGGCCUGAGGAGAGAGAGGGAGCAGCGGCGGGCGCCGCGGCGGCCAGUGCCAGCGCCAGCGCUCGCCGUGGGACUUUGCCUCUUUCUCAGCACGGGGGAGGGAAGGCGCUUCCUUCCGCCGCCAUCGCUGGUCCUGGUCCUGGCGGCAGUUCUAUGGCUGGCGAUGCUGGACUGGGGUUGGGAGGAGAAUAGUUCUCGGGAAAAGUGCAGCCUCAUUGGAGAAACACGAGCCAGACACUCGUGGAGAGAGAGACCAGCCUAGGACCGGACAGGCUGAUGCUGAAUCAUGGGGCUCAGGCCAGACCCACACUAGGAGUCGAGAGGGAAGUCUCCCAAAGCCAAGGCAGUGACUUGCCAAGGUUAUGGGCAGAGUCCGAGCCAAGCCUGGGCUUCCCAGCCCCCUGCCCAAUGCUGGCUGCCCAUUCCUAAGGUUGCUGGCCACCUCAGGGUGCUGGGGGGUGAGGGGCUGUUGUCCUUCAUCCUGCCCUUGGUCCUUAGAAACCAAAGGAAUAUCACCUGGAAGAGCCUGACCACUCCCCCCCCCCAAAAGGAACGUGCUAGCCGCUGCUCUGGCCCUGGCCCCAGACCCCGACCCGGCACCCCCGGGGUGUGUGACCUCUGCACAGCGGGGCUGCAGUCACCGCCUCACAAGGCUGACGUGAGGAGCAGCACAGAUCAGGAAAGAAGCACCAGCAGCGACAACCACCUCAGAAGUGCUUUGCAGAAAGUAAAUUUCCAAACAAAACACGAGCGGUGUCUGAUUUUAUUGCUCUGACAGCUGGAGUUGCAGGCUAUUUUUGAAUUACUCCAAUGUCCCAGCUCAUCCAUGGCCCACUUAUUUAAAAAUGAUUUAUUUGCAACAGGAGAAUAUGGUGUGCGUGUGUUUGGGGCGGGGAUCUCUGAGCCCACUCAGUCAAACCUGGGUCCUGUUGGGCUGAGUGAGGCUGAAAAUGAGGGGAACCUGCAGAAGACCUGCAGGUGCAGAGGGGGUGACUGAGAGCCUGGGGCCAGGUAGACCUGAAGCAGAACUUCCAGGGGCCCAGGGCAUGGCUCUCACACCAGAGACAUGUAAGCUCUGGUCUGGCUCCCGCCUCAGCACCUCCCGCAAUCCCCACCCAUCACCCUGCCCAGUCUGAGCGCCCACUGUCAUUCCUCUACCUGGGCCUGAAUCCUUCCCUGCUUCCCCUGUGCCCCCCACCUCUCCUACCCCUCCCCAGGCUGCCCUCCUCCCGUCAUACAAAGGAUCUGCUCAGCGUAGGUGACCCCUGCUUUCUGCCACUGCCCACGCCCUUCUCUGCCUACAACAGCCUGUCCAGACCUGUCCACCUGCUGAUGUCCCUCUAGCUCCCAUGGGAGAAGCCUUUCCCCACUUCCCCACGAAGGUCUGGGCGCUCCUUUCCCCAAGCUCCUGUAGUUCUCUCCUCCUUGCACCCUCAUGUAACACCGAGGGCUGGUUGCCAUGUCAUUUGCUUCCUCUGUAAAGAACUCCUGAAGGCCAGAGCAGGCAUCUAUCUCUCUCUCUCUCUCACUGCCUAGCAGGUCCUAGGAACUCCAUACAUGUUUGUGGAAGGAGGAAAGGAGCGGGGGCAGAGAGAGGAAGAAGGGGCCCUUCGCGGCGGCUUCCAGGCGGGCUGGCGGCACCACUAGUGCGCAUGGUAUGCUGGUCUGAAGGGCACAGCACCUCUGCCCCACCUCCCCAGAGCCCUAUUCUGAAGCCCCUCGGGCGGCAAAGGAAAGCAUGCUGGCAUUUCCUACAAAGUGAGGGGGUGGCGAGGCAGUCCCCAGGCCUCCCAGCCCUGAAAACUCUUCUAUUUAUAACACGAGCCCUG